This 449-nucleotide ribosomal RNA is filed under the name uncultured bacterium. Its description in RNAcentral is "partial 16S ribosomal RNA". It matches the Rfam family "Bacterial small subunit ribosomal RNA", at positions 29 to 523 of the family's 1533-position model. The record is from RNAcentral.
AGCGAACGCUGGCGGCAGGCUUAACACAUGCAAGUCGAGCGGGCCCUUCGGGGUCAGCGGCGGACGGGUGAGUAACGCGUGGGAACGUGCCUUCUGGUUCGGAAUAACCCUGGGAAACUAGGGCUAAUACCGGAUACGCCCUUUUGGGGAAAGGUUUACUGCCGGAAGAUCGGCCCGCGUCUGAUUAGCUAGUUGGUGGGGUAACGGCCUACCAAGGCGACGAUCAGUGGCUGGUCUGAGAGGAUGAUCAGCCACACUGGGACUGAGACACGGCCCAGACUCCUACGGGAGGCAGCAGUGGGGAAUAUUGAACAAUGGGCGCAAGCCUGAUCCAGCCAUGCCGCGUGAGUGAUGAAGGCCUUAGGGUUGUAAAGCUCUUUUAUCCGGGACGAUAAUGACGGUACCGGAGGAAUAAGCCCCGGCUAACUUCGUGCCAGCCGCCGCGGUAA